RNAcentral lists this ribosomal RNA (432 nucleotides) under uncultured bacterium. RNAcentral's name for it is "partial 16S ribosomal RNA". It matches the Rfam family "Bacterial small subunit ribosomal RNA", at positions 28 to 507 of the family's 1533-position model. The record is from RNAcentral.
GAUGAACGCUGGCGGUAUGCUUAACACAUGCAAGUCGAACGGUCACUUCGGUGAUAGUGGCGGACGGGUGAGUAACGCGUGAGAAUCUGUCUUCAGGUCGGGGACAACAGUUAGAAAUGACUGCUAAUACCGGAUGUGCCUUUGGGUGAAAGAUUUAUUGCCUGAAAAAGAGCUCGCGUCAGAUUAGCUAGUAGGUGGUGUAAGAGACUACCUAGGCUCCGAUCUGUAGCUGGUCUGAGAGGACGAUCAGCCACACUGGAACUGAGACACGGUCCAGACUCCUACGGGAGGCAGCAGUGGGGAAUUUUCCGCAAUGGGCGCAAGCCUGACGGAGCCAUACCGCGUGAGGGACGAAGGCUUUUGGGUCGUAAACCUCUUUUCUCCGGGAAGAUGAUGACGGUACUUGAGGAAUAAGCAUCGGCUAACUCUGUG